RNAcentral lists this ribosomal RNA (319 nucleotides) under Trypethelium subeluteriae. RNAcentral's name for it is "mitochondrial SSU rRNA". Lineage: Eukaryota; Fungi; Ascomycota; Dothideomycetes; Trypetheliales; Trypetheliaceae. The record is from RNAcentral.
AUGCCUUAUUAGUUUAAUAAAAAGAGUAUAUUAGGUUUAACUUUCUAUAUUAUUUUUAUUAAAUUAAUAAUUCAAAACCUUUGAAUGUAAUUCUAGAUAAAAUAUUGAUAAUGACAAAGUUUUAUCUAUAUGUCUUGACCAAAUCUUGUGCCAGCAGUCGCGGCAACACAAGGAAGACAAGUGUUAUUCAUCUUAAAUCGGUUUAAAGGGUACCUAGACGGUAAAUUAGGCCUUAAUUGGUACGUUUUUACUAGAGUUAUACAUGCAUGAGGAAUAUGUGAGUAUUACCAGAGUAGAGAUGAAAUUUUUUGAUACUGUU